RNAcentral lists this ribosomal RNA (343 nucleotides) under uncultured fungus. RNAcentral's name for it is "SSU rRNA". It matches the Rfam family "Eukaryotic small subunit ribosomal RNA", at positions 292 to 636 of the family's 1831-position model. The record is from RNAcentral. Lineage: Eukaryota; Fungi.
GGUUCAUUCAAAUUUCUGCCCUAUCAACUUUCGAUGGUAGGAUAGUGGCCUACCAUGGUAUCAACGGGUAACGGGGAAUUAGGGUUCGAUUCCGGAGAGGGAGCCUGAGAAACGGCUACCACAUCCAAGGAAGGCAGCAGGCGCGCAAAUUACCCAAUCCCGACCGGGGAGGUAGUGACAAUAAAUACUGAUACAGGGCUCUUUUGGGUCUUGUAAUUGGAAUGAGUACAAUUUAAAUCCCUUAACGAGGAACAAUUGGAGGGCAAGUCUGGUGCCAGCAGCCGGGUAAUUCCAGCUCCAAUAGCGUAUAUUAAAGUUGUUGCAGUUAAAAAGCUCGUAGUUG